GGCUGGCAGAAUGGAGCUAUGAGGGAGCUGGUGCACAUCUUGGAGAGACUGUUCUUUUCCAUUUUGGAGACUCUGACCUUGUGAGUUUUCAAAGUUCAAGUGAGUAAACCUCCACGAUCUGGGUUUUGCAGCCAGCCCAGCAUAGAUGCCCUGAGAACCAAUGAACAACCAUCAGGACCCAGCCCAGUGAUAACUGACACAAGAUCUCACCAACAGCGAUGCCAUAUUUGGACAUGAACUUGGUGGAACCAAUGUUAUGCAGAAACUGAGUUGGGUCUGAGCCCACUCUCCACAGAGAGUGGUAUGGGGAGAGUGUGCCCCUAAUGUGUUGGGAGAAAUGUUUGUACAUUUGUUCUUUUAAGUAAAUGUCCCUUUGAAAUAGCUAA
This is a long non-coding RNA of Trichosurus vulpecula (common brushtail), 386 nucleotides long. RefSeq lists it as uncharacterized. NCBI's taxonomy places the organism in Eukaryota, Metazoa, Chordata, Mammalia, Diprotodontia, Phalangeridae. The transcript has 2 exons. The record is from RefSeq and is a predicted model, not a curated record.